This 660-nucleotide ribosomal RNA is filed under the name uncultured archaeon. Its description in RNAcentral is "bacterial SSU rRNA". It matches the Rfam family "Archaeal small subunit ribosomal RNA", at positions 19 to 684 of the family's 1478-position model. The record is from RNAcentral.
GGAGGCCACUGCUAUUGGGAUCCGACUAANCCAUGCGAGUCGAGAGGGUUCGGCCCUCGGCAGACUGCUCAGUAACACGUGGAUAAUCUACCCUUAGGUGGAGGAUACUCUCGGGAAACUGAGAAUAAUACUCCAUAGAUCCAGGAUGCUGGAAUGCACCUAGAUUGAAAGUUCCGGCGCCUAAGGAUGAGUCUGCGGACUAUCAGGUAGUAGUCAGGGUAAAGACCUGACUAGCCUACGACGGAUACGGGUUGUGAGAGCAAUAGCCCGGAGACGAUAUCUGAGACACGAUAUCGGGCCCUACGGGGCGCAGCAGGCGCGAAAUCUUCACAAUGUGCGAAAGCACGAUGAGGGGAUCCCAAGUGUUGGUUCGUAAGAAUCAUCUGUUUCUUUGUCUAAAAAACAGAGAGAGUAAGAGCUGGGUAAGACGGGUGCCAGCCGCCGCGGUAAUACCUGCAGCUCAAGUGGUGGCCGCUAUUAUUGGGCCUAAAACGUCCGUAGCCGGUUUANUAAAUGCUUGGGUAAAUUGUGUAGCUCAACUAUACGAAUACCGAGUANACUGCUGAACUUGGGACCGGGAGAGGCUAGAGGUACUCCUAGGGUAGAGGUGAAAUUCUGUAAUCCUAGGGGGACCACCAGUGGCGAANGCGUCUAGCUAGA